Long non-coding RNA from Gallus gallus (chicken), 7510 nucleotides. The record is from Ensembl. NCBI's taxonomy places the organism in Eukaryota, Metazoa, Chordata, Aves, Galliformes, Phasianidae.
CCCCCUCCACAGUCACCACACCCUCCCUCCCUUCUUCCCCCUCUUCCCCCCUCCCCCCCCCCCUUCUAUCUUUCUGAGGAUUGAACACACACUCAUCGAUUAUUUUAACUGCCCUGCUGCAGGAUAUGAGCUCCCACCCUCUGUUGGACACAGAAAGAGGAAUGUUAAUGCUGGUCAGGCUACAAUGAUGUGAAGGAGAUGCCAGCUCAGAUGAUCCAGACGCCUUGGCUCCAACAAAACCUUUCCAGGUAUUCAAGCCUCUUGAUAUGACUGAAAUAAACAAAAUCCUUAUACAAAUAUGGACUAAAAUCUGCUUAACUGGGAUAUUAAACUAUUAUAAUCUGUUAUGAUGCCUGGACUUCAAAACCAACACAGAACGAAUAAGCAGGUUCGUCAAUGGAAUAUGAAAAGGUUGAGUGCACAGUUUAUUUCUGCACUUUGCUCAGCUGUUUUGGAUCCAUUCUCUAUACACGUCUUAUGGAGAAGAUGCCAAAUGAAUGCAUCUACAAAGAUUUAUUGCCUUCUAGGACACCCAAGCUUUAGGAAAUCCAACUGGAACUGAAUCUUCUCGCUUUCUGAAAAACAAGGUGGCACACAACAGGAAAUUCUUGUGGCUAAUAACUGCUGUUUUACCCUUAACUAAUCACAGAAGAAAAAAAAAAAAAAAAAGACAGUAUUAAUAUCUUUAGGUUCUCAACCAUCCUGAUAGCCUUCAACUACUCAGAUAUCUUUCAACCACCUGGAUAUCAUUUCAACCACCUGGAUAUCUGCUGGGAUAGUGGCACAGCAUGUGGCAGACAAUCCAGGAGAUUCCUGGAGUCUGUUGAGGACAACUUCCUGGUCCAGGUAUCAGAUGGACCAACCCAAGGAGAAGCCUUACUGAACCUGGUGCUCACUAAUACAGAAGAGAGUAUUAGAGAGGUUAAGAUUGGAGGCGGCCUGGGCUGUAGUGAUCCUGCCCUGAUGUGUUUGUGAUCUGGAGAAAUGCAGGCCUGACAAACAGCAGAGUCAAGUCCCUGAACUCCAGGAGAGCAAAAUUCCAGCUGCUCAAGGAUCUGCUGGAUGGGAUCCCCUGGGAAAGUGUCCUUGAGGGCAUAGGAACAGAACAGAGCAGGCAGCUCUUUAAGAACAUUCUUCUGUGAGCACAAAAAUUAUCCAUCCCCCAGCAGAAGAAAUCAAGCAGAGAAGGUAGGUGAUUGGCAUGGCUGAACAAGGACCUGCAGCUUAAAAUGAGGGACAAGAGGGAAACGUACAGGAAGCAAAAGCAGGGUUGUGUAAUCUGGGAAGAAUAUAAGGACAUUGUCUGCGGGGAUACGAUCAGGAAAACCAAGGCACAGGUGGAGCUAAACUUGGCAAGGGAUGUGAAAAAUAACAAGAAGGCGUUCUAAAGGUACAUAGGCAGGAGGAGACAGACCAAGGAAAGUGUUCCCCCUCUGAUAAAGGAGGACAGAGAGCUAACUUGCUCAGAUGUGGAAAAAGCUGAGGUGCUCAAUGAGUGCUCUGCCUCAGUCUUCACUGGUGGUCAGGCUCCUCCCCAUGUCUGCCAGGACCCUGAAGCUCUAGGUGUGGGUGAGAGAAGCAGAUUCCAUCCCACUGUAACAGUGGAACAAGUCCAAGACCUCCUUGGGAUACUGAAUGCAUAUAAGCUGGCAUUCAUGGGGCCAGAUGAGAUCCAUCCUUGGGUUCUGAAAGAGGUGACUGAUGUGGUUGACGAGCCGCCCUCCAUCGUAUUUGAAAAAUCAUGGCCGUUGGGUGAAAUCCCAGGUGCCCGGAAAAAGGGAAAUGUUACUCCCAUUUUCCUGAAAGGGAGAAAAAUUGACCCAGGGAACUACCAGCUGGUGAGCCUCACCUCUAUGCCUGGGAAGAUCAUGGAGCAGAUCCUCCUGGUUACAAUGUUAAGGCAUAUACCAGAGGAAGAGGUGAUCUGCAACAGCCAUCAUGGCUUCACCUAGGGCAGAUCUUGCCUGACCAAUCUGGUGGCCUUCUAUGAUGGAGUGAUGGCUUCAGCAGAUGGGGCAAAGGCGAUGGAUCUCAUCUUCACAGACCUCUGCAAAGUCCCUAACUGCAUCCUUCUCUCUAAAUUGGAGAGUUAUGGAAUUGAAAGAUGGGCGGUUCUACGGACUGAGAAGUGGUUGGCUGGUCACAGCCACAGGUUUGUGAUCAAUGGUUCUAUGUCUGAAUGGAGGCCAGUCACAAACAGUGUACUUCAAGGGUCAGCCUUGGGACAAGUGUUCUUUACUAUCUUCAUCAGUGACAUAGAUAAUGGUAUACUGAGGUCCCAUUUAGAAUGCUGUUUCUAGUUCUGGGCUCCCCAGAUCAAGAAUGACAAGGAUCUCAUAGAAGGUCUCCAAUGGAGGGUCACAAAGUUGUUAAAGGGCCUGGAGCACCUCCCAGAUCUGAUGUGAUGGUGGCAUUCCUAUCUCUGUGACUGCGUCUUUAGGUGAGCCGUCUUUCUCCCAGUUUCUUUUGAUCUCUUUGGGAAUUUGUAGACUAAUCAAACAGAGGAGUAGAAUUCUGACUGAGUGUAAUACUCAAAAGUGAGCUGUGAAAAUCUGAAGAGUGCAAAAAAAGCAUUGCAUUCUGCCUGGUCAAUUCACUUAGUGAGAGACAGAUGGCCAGUCACCACAUUCACAGUACUACUUGUGUUGCCUCUUGCCUGGAAGGAGAAAAGAGAAAUAGGAACUUGGAAUAUUUUACAGUAUUUUGUGGAAAAGUAGAUGGUCUUUGGAAGGUAGGAAACAUGGAGGAGGGAGGCACUGCAGGAAAGAUGAAAGUGCAGCCCAGCCUUAGUAAGGUGAAGUCUUUAGAAAGCAGUCACAUUUUACUAACUUGUGAGAACAUUGUCCUAGAAUAAGUAUCCAGACAGAGUCUCAGGAAAACAAAACAAAACAAAACAAAACAAAAACUGAAGAUAAAUUCAUCUCCUUUCAGAAAUACAGAAUUCAUCAUUCUAUUAGAACUAUAGAAGUCCUAAACACAGGAGGAGGGACGUGACAGCUUUUGUGACAUGUUGCAUUUAAUGAUUUUACACCUCAAAUUGGAUUUAUCUCCAUGUGGAUUUUUGACUACUGAAGAUAUAUCCAGAGUGAUUGAAAUCUGCUCAUUGAAGUCUCUACCUUCUUCAAUUUUUUGAAGGUCUGUGAAAGUGGGCUCACAUUCUGACCUUAAAGUAGUUGUUUAAAUCUAAUUAAACACCAAUACACUACAAACAACCUUCUUAGAUUAUAUAAUUAUUUCUUUCCAGUCUCCAAAUUUCUUCACUUUUGUCCCAUCAAUGUUUCAAUAACUUAGAUAGAGUAAAAAAUAUGUAAAUAAAUAAAUAAAAAUAAAGUCCUUAUUAUUCCAUGAACAUUAUCCCAGUGGUAUAUAGGUUUUCUGAAACAAAUAAGGAAGCCAUGGGACAUAAUUCUAUCAUUAAAUAAUUCUCAAAGAAGGAUUUAAUUAAGUUUUGUCAUGCAGUUCUGCCACUCAAGUCUUCGCCCUCUCAAAUAUAGUUUGUAUUAGAACAUACACCUGUGAAAAAGAAAAUGUUUGCAUUUUUACAAUUUUAGCAAGGGGAGAUAAAUAAAGUAUCUAUUUACCUAACUUUCUUAAUAUCGGGUAUAUUUCUGAUAUAUCGGCCAGAAUGUUUGAACAACAUGCUAGUGUAGUCCACCUACCUCUACAGUUUAUGCACAAAGUAGUGUAUAUGUACAGAGUUUUUCAGUUCACAGAGUUAUGGGAUUGUAACUUCCUGAGCAGCUACACACAAAGUCUGAAAAUGAAUAUAGUCAGCUGAAUUUUAUAGCUGGUAACUAAGUUGUUCUAACCAAUAUUACCAAAAUAUUAGAAAGUUUAGGAGGAAAUUCUAAAAAUGCUUCAUAUGGCAGAAGUAUUGCAAAGCAUUAAACUACCCCAUUGUGUUCUUCACUAGAAAGAACAUUCCAGUAUUUAACAUAUUUUACUUUUAAGACAGCUGAUUGUACUUCAAGACAGCAUCUUUAAUAACAUUCUGAAAGGUUCUUGAAAGUGCACUGGAAUUUUAGCAAUAUUUCAUCAAUUUUUCCAUAUUCCCCCUCUUGAAGUGUCGUAAAAAAAUGAAAGUAUCCUACUAUAGCACAAAAAAAAAUACACGUCUAUUUGAAGAUUUCCUGUGUUAUUAAAUAUGGCAUGAUGCACACUGUAUUUUUGGACUUUUUAUCAUUCAAAAUGGUGCAUAAUACUAACUCUUACAAGAUUAUAUGCACAACAGUUAAACUAUAAACUAAAAGUGCAAAUAAUUAAUCUUGCUUAAACAUAAAUGUCAUUUGCAACAUCUCAAAAUAUCUGAGAUAUUCAGUUGGGCUUAUAAAUGUGACAUUGGACCUGGGAGAGACCCAGACCGCUUUGGAAUGCAACUAGAGGCAUACCUAUAAAACACUAGAGUGUCUAAACUGAUAAAUGACAUUAGACAGUUAUGUUUAAGUACCCAUAUCACGUUAAACAAUAAAGUUAAAUUAUCUCAUUUCCUGAGAAACAAUAGCUCCUUUCAGAAAUGUAGUUAACCAGGGAAACAACUGCUGAUUUGCAUUAGUCAUCACAGGAUCUGAACUCAUUUCUCAGAAGUUUUUCCUUCAGAUAACAAAACAUGUGAAAGAGAGCUUAAAGGACCAAAAGUGUAAAUUAAGAAAGAGAGCUUUACAUGUUAACAUUCUUACUGAAUUUUCUUUCUGAUGUCCCAGAAUGAAAGUUACCUCUGUAGUGCACUAUGCUGAAAUAUCUAUAUAAUCAGAACUGUUUUGCAUAAAAAGAUGGCUCUUUCAGUCUAAGUGUCCCUUAAAAACCUUUGCCUAUUUCUCUAUUCCUCUGAUCUGUGUAUUAUCUGUGCAUCUGUAUCCCAGAGUUACAGAACUGUGGGUAGAAUUCAUUCUUCAUUGCAGAUUCCAAAUGAGAAUUUGCCUCGGAUAGUUACCUUGAUCUCAAAUCUGCCCUAGCCAAAGAUAUUUCAGUGAUUUGAACUUUUCUCUAAUUGAGCAGAAAUCACAGAGAGCAAGUCAUGGGAUUCUGGGAAAAAAAAAAAAAAAAAAAAAAGUAGUACCAAAUGUCCAGAUUGAGUAGAUGAAGGAUGUCUGAACAGUAGCAUCAGACUCCAGAAAAUCUUUAAUUUGUAAACCUGAUAUUAGGGGUUGUACUGCACUGACCUUUUUGACUGUACUGGAAAGAAUGAAUCACCAGAGAUGGCUCAUCAACAUAUCCCUGUUUGAAAGUCUGCCAAAUAUUUGGGCAAAAUGGUAGUAUGAGUAACAGCAAUCAUGAUUAGUGAAGAGUGUCGUCAAAUUGUCAGGACUACCAAGAGGUGAAGGAAGGUAGAAUCAAAGGAACAUAAUAUGUUGAGAUUUUUCACUUGACAUACUACAGACCAUAUUCUAUUAAAAGUGAGGAUCAACUUGGGGACAUAUAUCUGGAAAAGAUCAUAUCUAUCAUAGACUGAUUAGCUAUGGCAAGAUUUGCUUGCAUUGAAACUUGACUUUUCAAGUGGCUGUUGCAGAAAUUUGGAUACAGUACAUUAAUUGUGUUUGUUAUUAUCCAAAUGGAUAGAAAUCAUUCUCUGUAUUUUGCAAGUUGACUAGGAGAUGCCAUCUCUUUGCACAAAGUGCCAGAACCAUAAUGUAAUAUGUACAAAUAAAUAUAGCCUCGUUACUGUUAGUCAUCUGAAAUUAAAAUGUUCCUUCUAUUUACCAGGAAUCUUCUUAUUUGUUCUGUGUAUCCGUAGAUAUUUAUGAAAUCAAUAUGUAAUUUAGUUUCAGUAUAUUUAAUCAUAAUCAGCCUUAGCGUAGUGUUUAGCUGAACAUAUAAAAUGUACUAUAAUGACUUUAAAAUGUUUAAUUUAAGAAUCUCUGCCUCUGUGCAUAUGAAUCAGAGACCUGUGUUUAAUUAUUGAUAGUAAUUAGAGCACAGAAGCAGACAAACAGCAUCUGGUGGCAGGAAUAAUUUCAGAGCCUAGCCCUUUGGAGCCAAAGCAUUGCUUCAGUGAUUGAUUCCUUUCAAUGUAUGAAUUUGGUUUUGGUUUCUAAACAACUCUUUGAAAGCUCUCUGCCAUCUUAUAACUCCUGUUAGGUCUAUGCAUGUAUGUGUGGAACAUAUGCUGGUCAGCUGUUUUUUUAAUGUAAUCAGAUCAGAAAAAUAUUCCUAAGGACUUAUUUGUUUUUAUGUUUAUUCUAGCCUGUGAACACUAAAAUUUUAAUUAUACAUUGGUAUUCAAGUCUGAAGGUCAAAGAAUUAAAACAGAAAUCAUUUCUGGUAAAUACCAAAUAAACACUUAAAUGAAAAUACAAAACUUUAUAAAUUCUACAAAAUAAUAGUUACAGAUAUUAAGAAAAAAAGAUUUUAUUCUGCACCUACUGAAGCAAAAGUGAACCUCUCAAAUGAAGUAUUUACAUCAUAGGCAAAUAUACUAUGAUUCACAGAGUUACACUGCCAUUUAUCAAUGAAUAACCUGGUGAAAAAUGGAAAAAUGCCACUUUUUUUUUUUUUUUUUUUUUUGUUAAUCUAUAUUGGAUAGAAAAUAAUUCAUGUGAGUGCUGGCUAUCAACUUUUUGUGAGAGUUUGUUGAUCUUUAAAAUAUUCCUAGGGAGGAACAUCCUCCCAGACAAUGAAUAACUUCUUGAAAAGAGCUGUCUGUUCCUGUUCUGUGCAGUCAGAUCUUAGAAGUACUUCAGUACUUAGAAGUUUAGUAGACUUCAACGAUUCUUGGAACACGGGUCAAAAAACAAAAACAAAAACAAACAAACAAAAAAAACCAUGAGAACCAUGAAAAUAAAUGAUGUGGGUUUUAUUUUGUUUUGUUUUGUUUUGUUUCUCCUACAAACAUGAAGAAGUACUUUAUAAAAAUAUGCUGUGAUGCUCAAGGAAAAUCAAGACUCCUGCCACAGUCUUCAGAGACUAAGUCUAAGAAAUACUCUCAAGAAUGUUCAUUAGACAAGAAUCUACAUGAGAGUCCAGGCAAGUGAUUGACAUGAGUGUUAAAUCUGGUGAAAACUCAGGAAUAAAUUUUGGACAUGCGAUAUUCAGUCUCUCUCUUACACACUGAGACACUGCCACCUGUGUCCAUAUUGCUAAUUAUCUUCCAUAAUCUCCCUUAAAGCUGACUGAGAGGUCAGGCUCUGAGAAGCUGUAAUUCUCUAUUGCUUUGCCUUGUAACAGAUGGGUAGAAAGGAAAGACAGACAUAGCAAAUACUUGUUAUUACCUUGAAUAGGAUUAUAACAUACUUUAUUGAAAACAUUCUUUUAAUUGGUAAUAAUUCUGAGUCAGAUGAUAAUUUUUUUCACUAUGGCCAGUUUAAAAUUCUGUAAACAAUUAGCACCAGAUCUGCCAACUAUAUAAGUAGUACAUUUCUAUAAAAAAAAAAAUACCCAGCCAUCCAGUUUCCAUCAUCCAAUGUUGGAAUUUUACAGUAAUAUAUGAUGCAGUAUUGCAAACUAGGUGUAUUAAAGUUAUGUUUGUCUGCUUCCUACUGUUCUCACUCAGCCAUUUUAUUCACCAAAAGCUUUU